UCGAUUUGGAGUUUGUUGCCCUGAGUGAUGGGCUCCGAAGCUAACGCGAUAAAUCGACCGCCUGGGGAGUACGGCCGCAAGGUUAAAACUCAAAUGAAUUGACGGGGGCCCGCACAAGCGGUGGAGCAUGUGGUUUAAUUCGAUGCAACGCGAAGAACCUUACCUGGUCUUGACAUCCACAGAAUCUUGCAGAGAUGCGAGAGUGCCUUCGGGAACUGUGAGACAGGUGCUGCAUGGCUGUCGUCAGCUCGUGUUGUGAAAUGUUGGGUUAAGUCCCGCAACGAGCGCAACCCUUAUCCUUUGUUGCCAGCGAUUAGGUCGGGAACUCAAAGGAGACUGCCGUUGAUAAAGCGGAGGAAGGUGGGGACGACGUCAAGUCAUCAUGGCCCUUACGACCAGGGCUACACGCGUGCUACAAUGGCGUAUACAAAGGGAGGCGACCUCGCGAGAGCAAGCGGACCUCAUAAAGUACGUCUAAGUCCGGAUUGGAGUCUGCAACUCGACUCCAUGAAGUCGGAAUCGCUAGUAAUCGUGAAUCAGAAUGUCACGGUGAAUACGUUCCCGGGCCU
RNAcentral lists this ribosomal RNA (569 nucleotides) under uncultured Gammaproteobacteria bacterium. RNAcentral's name for it is "bacterial SSU rRNA". It matches the Rfam family "Bacterial small subunit ribosomal RNA", at positions 812 to 1381 of the family's 1533-position model. The record is from RNAcentral. Lineage: Bacteria; Pseudomonadati; Pseudomonadota; Gammaproteobacteria.